Molecule: ribosomal RNA, 273 nt
Filed under: uncultured bacterium
Lineage: Bacteria
Description: partial 16S ribosomal RNA
Rfam family: Bacterial small subunit ribosomal RNA
Source: RNAcentral
AACGUAGGAGGCGAGCGUUAUUCGGAUUUACUGGGCGUAAAGCGCGUGCAGGCGGCUUCGUAAGUCGGACGUUAAAUCUCCUGGCUCAACUGGGAGGGGUCGUUCGAAACUGCGGGGCUUGAGGUCGGGAGAGGGAAGUGGAAUUCCCGGUGUAGUGGUGGAAUGCGUAGAUAUCGGGAGGAACACCAGUGGCGAAGGCGGCUUCCUGGCCCGCACCUGACGCUAAGACGCGAAAGCGUGGGGAGCGAACGGGAUUAGAUACCCCCGUAGUCC